AUUGAACGCUGGCGGCAUGCCUUACACAUGCAAGUCGAACGGUAACAGGUCUUCGGAUGCUGACGAGUGGCGAACGGGUGAGUAAUACAUCGGAACGUGCCUGAUCGUGGGGGAUAACGAAGCGAAAGCUUUGCUAAUACCGCAUAAGAUCUACGGAUGAAAGCAGGGGACCGCAAGGCCUUGCGCGAACGGAGCGGCCGAUGGCAGAUUAGGUAGUUGGUGGGAUAAAAGCUUACCAAGCCGACGAUCUGUAGCUGGUCUGAGAGGACGACCAGCCACACUGGGACUGAGACACGGCCCAGACUCCUACGGGAGGCAGCAGUGGGGAAUUUUGGACAAUGGGCGAAAGCCUGAUCCAGCCAUGCCGCGUGCAGGAUGAAGGCCUUCGGGUUGUAAACUGCUUUUGUACGGAACGAAAAGACUCUGGUUAAUACCUGGGGUCCAUGACGGUACCGUAAGAAUAAGCACCGGCUAACUACGUG
Molecule: ribosomal RNA, 482 nt
Filed under: uncultured bacterium
Lineage: Bacteria
Description: partial 16S ribosomal RNA
Rfam family: Bacterial small subunit ribosomal RNA
Source: RNAcentral